This is a long non-coding RNA of Hypanus sabinus (Atlantic stingray), 467 nucleotides long. RefSeq lists it as uncharacterized. The record is from RefSeq and is a predicted model, not a curated record. The transcript is spliced from 3 exons. NCBI's taxonomy places the organism in Eukaryota, Metazoa, Chordata, Chondrichthyes, Myliobatiformes, Dasyatidae.
CUUGUUACAAGGAUUGGGUCAGAAAUGAAGAUCGGUGUUAUUUCAUAUCCACGUUUGAAACAUCUUACCGUGGAGCGACGAAACAAUGUUCAAACUACACAUCGAGGCUUCUUCAAUUAAAUACAACAGAGGAAAAGAAUUUUUUUUUCAACGCUGUCUGCCAUCAAAAUAGAAAAUACUGGAUUGGAAAAUGUAAAGACGGGAAAGUGGCCUCUAAUGUCCUGUACAAGACACACUCUGGGAACCUCCAUUGCACUGAAUGUAAAUCGUCCAGUAGGCGAUCCCCUUGCAAUCGUAAUGAACACCAUUUCAUCUGCGAGACGGCUGCAUCUGUGUACCCGGAUAUUCCUGAGGAGAUCCAGGAUCUCUGUCGACAUCCAAUACGGGAGUUAUCAAUCAUGUGACAACCCCCGCUAUCUCCCCUGUCUCUCAACCCCACCGACAAUGCCCCAUCUGCCCCUCGGCCC